UCAAUUUGAUGUAGGCAAAAUAAUACUAAUUUGUCUAUUGCCUUAAAUACCUAAUAUAUAUCUAAAUCAAACUAACCAAAUUGGUCACCCAAUACCAAUGCAUAUACGACAUAUCCUUUAUUUUUUUUGAACACAUAUAAUCGAACCAUCCAUUUAAAUAACAAAGCAUAUGUCAUAGCUCAAUACGUAUCUCAAACUUACAUUUAUU
This 208-nucleotide long non-coding RNA is filed under the name Gossypium raimondii (Peruvian cotton). RNAcentral's name for it is "long non-coding RNA (GRAI_LNC003835)". Lineage: Eukaryota; Viridiplantae; Streptophyta; Magnoliopsida; Malvales; Malvaceae. The record is from RNAcentral.